Non-coding RNA from Acanthosepion pharaonis, 115 nucleotides. The record is from the annotation of a GenBank genome assembly. NCBI's taxonomy places the organism in Eukaryota, Metazoa, Mollusca, Cephalopoda, Sepiida, Sepiidae.
UUACGGUCAAAUCACGUUGAAAACACCGGUUCUCGUUCGAUCACCGAAGUUAAGCAUCGUAGAGCCAGGUCAGUACUUAGAUGGGGGACCGCUUGGGAACACCUGGUACUGUAAG